GUUAUAGAGUCAAGUGAAUAAGUGCAUAUCGUGGAUGCCUUGGCGAUUACAGGCGAUGAAGGACGUUGUAGGCUGCGAUAAGCCUCGGGGAGCUGCCAAACAAGCUUUGAUCCGAGGAUUUCCGAAUGGGGAAACCCACCCGAAAGGGUAUCCCAUGCUGAAUACAUAGGCAUGUGGAAGCGAACCCGGCGAACUGAAACAUCUAAGUAGCUGGAGGAAAAGAAAUCAACCGAGAUUCCGAAAGUAGUGGCGAGCGAAAUCGGAACAGCCUUGACGUUUUAGCAACGUUAUUAACAGAACGCUCUGGAAAGUGCGGCCAUAGUGGGUGAUAGCCCCGUAUGUAAAAACUCGUUGUGGAACUAAGCGUCAGAAAAGUAGGGCGGGACACGUGAAAUCCUGUCUGAA
This 405-nucleotide ribosomal RNA is filed under the name Actinomycetota bacterium. RNAcentral's name for it is "Actinobacteria bacterium partial 23S ribosomal RNA". It matches the Rfam family "Bacterial large subunit ribosomal RNA", at positions 1 to 442 of the family's 2925-position model. Lineage: Bacteria; Bacillati; Actinomycetota. The record is from RNAcentral.